UCUGGUGAUGAUAAUUGAUUUUAUUGUGUGUUUUGAUUUUUGUGGUAAAAUAUGAAAUUUGGUUUGAUAUUUUUAUUAUUAUUUUAAAGUAAGUAAGAUGAUUUGGAUUAGUACCCAAGUAAUUUUUGUUUAGUAGUGCAGGAGUAUAAUUGUAUUAAAACUGAAACUAUUUUUGGGAGAUUUAAAAUUUAUUUUUGGAGGUUGACGAGUAAGUGAGGACCCUCAUUGCUAACUAUUAUUUUUGUGGUAUGUAUGAUCGUUUAUUUUGAUAUGGAGUAUUGAAAAGUAAAGUUUUGUGUAUAAUGAUAGAUAGAUAUCUACUAUAUGCAAUAGAUUUUGUUGACCUACAUUAUUUUUUUUAUGUGGAUUUUUAUUGUUGGUGAUUAAAUGAAAAUGGAAAAGACAGUAAAUUAAUUUUAGUGUUUAAUUGAAGAUUUUUUUUUGGAUGGACA
Molecule: ribosomal RNA, 452 nt
Filed under: Syphacia obvelata
Lineage: Eukaryota; Metazoa; Nematoda; Chromadorea; Rhabditida; Oxyuridae
Description: partial small subunit ribosomal RNA
Source: RNAcentral